GAUGAAGAACGUAGCGAAAUGCGAUAAGUGAUGUGAAUUGCAGAAUUCAGUGAACCAUCGAAUCUUUGAACGCACAUUGCGCCCGGCAGUAAUCUGCCGGGCAUGCCUGUCCGAGCGUCAUUUCUACCCUCGAGCGAGUCCAGCAUCUAGGUGCUGGGCCUCGCCCGGCGUUGGAGCACUACGGGAAGCCCUGUGCUGUCCCCCGUAGGCCCCGAAAUGAAGUGGCGGUCCUGCCGCGGCGCCCCCUGCGUAGUAUAACAGCUCGCUUCGGGACCCGGUGGAGGCCUGCCGUCAAACCUAUACUCUCUAAGUUUGACCUCGGAUCAGGUAGGGUUACCCGCUGAACUUAAGCAUAUCAAUAAGCGGAGGA
This 370-nucleotide unclassified non-coding RNA is filed under the name soil metagenome. RNAcentral's name for it is "partial contains 5.8S ribosomal RNA, internal transcribed spacer 2, and large subunit ribosomal RNA". The stretch from base 1 to 120 matches the Rfam family "5.8S ribosomal RNA", at positions 35 to 154 of the family's 154-position model. The record is from RNAcentral.